This 83-nucleotide transfer RNA is filed under the name Actinomycetota bacterium. Its description in RNAcentral is "Actinobacteria bacterium tRNA-Leu". It matches the Rfam family "tRNA". From Rfam's summary of the family: Transfer RNA (tRNA) molecules are approximately 80 nucleotides in length. Their secondary structure includes four short double-helical elements and three loops (D, anti-codon, and T loops). Lineage: Bacteria; Bacillati; Actinomycetota. The record is from RNAcentral.
GCGGAUGUGGCGGAAUCGGGAUACGCACCGGCCUCAAAAGCCGGCGGCCACUGGCCAUGAGGGUUCGACUCCCUCCGUCCGCA